This 1368-nucleotide ribosomal RNA is filed under the name uncultured bacterium. RNAcentral describes it as "16S ribosomal RNA". It matches the Rfam family "Bacterial small subunit ribosomal RNA". The record is from RNAcentral.
UUAGAGUUUGAUCCUGGCUCAGGACGAACGCUGGCGGCGCGCCUAACACAUGCAAGUCGAACGAGCGAGAGAGAGCUUGCUUUCUCAAGCGAGUGGCGAACGGGUGAGUAACGCGUGAGGAACCUGCCUCAAAGAGGGGGACAACAGUUGGAAACGACUGCUAAUACCGCAUAAGCCCACAGCUCGGCAUCGAGCAGAGGGAAAAGGAGCAAUCCGCUUUGAGAUGGCCUCGCGUCCGAUUAGCUAGUUGGUGAGGUAACGGCCCACCAAGGCGACGAUCGGUAGCCGGACUGAGAGGUUGAACGGCCACAUUGGGACUGAGACACGGCCCAGACUCCUACGGGAGGCAGCCGUGGGGAAUAUUGCACAAUGGGGGAAACCCUGAUGCAGCGACGCCGCGUGGAGGAAGAAGGUCUUCGGAUUGUAAACUCCUGUUGUUGAGGAAGAUAAUGACGGUACUCAACAAGGAAGUGACGGCUAACUACGUGCCAGCAGCCGCGGUAAAACGUAGGUCACAAGCGUUGUCCGGAAUUACUGGGUGUAAAGGGAGCGCAGGCGGGAAGACAAGUUGGAAGUGAAAUCUAUGGGCUCAACCCAUAAACUGCUUUCCAAACUGUUUUUCUUGAGUAGUGCACAGGUAUGCGGAAUUCCGGUGUAGCGGUGGAAUGCGUAGAUAUCGGGAGGUACACCAGUGGCGAAGGCGGCCUACUGGGCACCAACUGACGCUGAGGCUCGAAAGUGUGGGUAGCAACAGGAUGAGAUACCCUGGUAGUCCACACCGUAAACGAUGAUUACUAGGUGUUGGAGGAUUGACCCCUUCAGUGCCGCAGUUAACACAAUAAGUAAUCCACCUGGGGAGUACGACCGCAAGGUUGAAACUCAAAGGAAUUGACGGGGGCCCGCACAAGCAGUGGAGUAUGUGGUUUAAUUCGACGCAACGCGAAGAACCUUACCAAGUCUUGACAUCCCUUGACGAACAUAGAAAUAUGUUUUCUCUUCGGAGCAAGGAGACAGGUGGUGCAUGGUUGUCGUCAGCUCGUGUCGUGAGAUGUUGGGUUAAGUCCCGCAACGAGCGCAACCCUUACUGUCAGUUACUACGCAAGAGGACUCUGGCAGGACUGCCGUUGACAAAACGGAGGAAGGUGGGGAUGACGUCAAAUCAUCAUGCCCUUUAUGACUUGGGCUACACACGUACUACAAUGGCGUUAAACAAAGAGAAGCAAGACCGCGAGGUGGAGCAAAACUCAGAAACAGCGUCCCACCUCGCACUGCAGGCUGCAACUCGCCUGCACGAAGUCGGAAUUGCUAGUAAUCGUGGAUCAGCAUGCCACGGUGAAUAGUUCCCGGCCCUUGUACACACCGCCCGUC